This 327-nucleotide unclassified non-coding RNA is filed under the name uncultured fungus. RNAcentral's name for it is "sequence contains ITS1". The stretch from base 1 to 105 matches the Rfam family "5.8S ribosomal RNA", at positions 50 to 154 of the family's 154-position model. Lineage: Eukaryota; Fungi. The record is from RNAcentral.
GAAAUGCGAUACUUGGUGUGAAUUGCAGAAUCCCGUGAAUCAUCGAAUCUUUGAACGCAUAUUGCGGUCGAGGCUUCGGCCGAGACCAUGUCUGCCUCAGCGUCGGAGUAAACCCUCACGUGGAGCAGACGCCCGCGUGGAGCUGGCCCCCCCAGCGGCCUCGGCCGCUGGGCCGGCUGAAGUGCAGAGGUACGCGCACGGACCUGUAUGGCACCAGCAAGGUAGGUAGCUCGCUACUCCAGCUGAUGCUUUGGGCCCGCCGCCGCACCCGCAGGAACCCCACUCUUUAUCGACCUGAGUUCAGGCAAGGCUACCCGCUGAACUUAA